Molecule: ribosomal RNA, 510 nt
Filed under: uncultured bacterium
Lineage: Bacteria
Description: partial 16S ribosomal RNA
Rfam family: Bacterial small subunit ribosomal RNA
Source: RNAcentral
GACGAACGCUGGCGGCGUGCUUAACACAUGCAAGUCGAACGAAGAGCGAUGGAAGCUUGCUUCUAUCAAUCUUAGUGGCGAACGGGUGAGUAACGCGUAAUCAACCUGCCCUUCAGAGGGGGACAACAGUUGGAAACGACUGCUAAUACCGCAUACGAUCUAAUCUCGGCAUCGAGGAUAGAUGAAAGGUGGCCUCUACAUGUAAGCUAUCACUGAAGGAGGGGAUUGCGUCUGAUUAGCUAGUUGGAGGGGUAACGGCCCACCAAGGCGAUGAUCAGUAGCCGGUCUGAGAGGAUGAACGGCCACAUUGGGACUGAGACACGGCCCAGACUCCUACGGGAGGCAGCAGUGGGGAAUCUUCCGCAAUAGACGAAAGUCUGACGGAGCAACGCCGCGGGAGUGAUGACGGCCUUCGGGUCGUAAAGCUCUGUUAAUCGGGACGAAAGGCCUUCUUGCGAAUAGUGAGAAGGAUUGACGGUACCGGAAUAGAAAGCCACGGCUAACUACGUG